AUUCAAGUUUUGUGCCUCUUACCAUUCAAAAGACAAGUUUUCUCCCCGGUAUCUUUGUACUGACGGAGACAUUGGUUUAGACGAAAAAGAUAAGGCAAGACAAGCACUAAAGGUAUUGCAACAGAGUGAC
Molecule: non-coding RNA, 130 nt
Organism: Arachis ipaensis
Lineage: Eukaryota; Viridiplantae; Streptophyta; Magnoliopsida; Fabales; Fabaceae
Source: RefSeq, a predicted model, not a curated record